UACGUAGGUGGCAAGCGUUGUCCGGAAUUAUUGGGCGUAAAGCGCGCGCAGGCGGCCUUUUAAGUCUGAUGUGAAAGCCCACGGCUCAACCGUGGAAGGUCAUUGGAAACUGAAAGGCUUGAGUACAGAAGAGGAAAGCGGAAUUCCACGUGUAGCGGUGAAAUGCGUAGAUAUCUGGAGGAACACCGGUGGCGAAGGCGGCAUCCUGGACCAAUACUGACACUGAGGAGCGAAAGCCAGGGGAGCAAACGGG
RNAcentral lists this ribosomal RNA (253 nucleotides) under uncultured bacterium. Its description in RNAcentral is "partial 16S ribosomal RNA". It matches the Rfam family "Bacterial small subunit ribosomal RNA", at positions 524 to 776 of the family's 1533-position model. The record is from RNAcentral.